UGACCUACGGGGCGCAGCAGUGGGGAAUAUUGCACAAUGGGCGAAAGCCUGAUGCAGCAACGCCGCGUGAAGGAAGACGGUUUUCGGAUUGUAAACUUCUAUCAAUAGGGAGGAAAGAAAUGACGGUACCUAAAUAAGGAGCCCCGGCUAACUACGUGCCAGCAGCCGCGGUAAUACGUAGGGGGCAAGCGUUAUCCGGAAUUACUGGGUGUAAAGGGAGAGUAGGCGGCAAGGUAAGCGAUAUGUGACAGCCUUAAGCUUAACUUACGGAUUGCAUAACGAACUAUCUAGCUAGAGUACAGGAG
RNAcentral lists this ribosomal RNA (305 nucleotides) under uncultured bacterium. RNAcentral describes it as "bacterial SSU rRNA". It matches the Rfam family "Bacterial small subunit ribosomal RNA", at positions 335 to 654 of the family's 1533-position model. The record is from RNAcentral.